UACGUAGGUGGCAAGCGUUGUCCGGAAUUAUUGGGCGUAAAGCGCGCGCAGGUGGUUCCUUAAGUCUGAUGUGAAAGCCCACGGCUCAACCGUGGAGGGUCAUUGGAAACUGGGGAACUUGAGUGCAGAAGAGGAAAGUGGAAUUCCAAGUGUAGCGGUGAAAUGCGUAGAGAUUUGGAGGAACACCAGUGGGGAAGGCGACUUUCUGGUCUGUAACUGACACUGAGGCGCGAAAGCGUGGGGAGCAAACAGG
This 253-nucleotide ribosomal RNA is filed under the name uncultured bacterium. RNAcentral's name for it is "partial 16S ribosomal RNA". It matches the Rfam family "Bacterial small subunit ribosomal RNA", at positions 524 to 776 of the family's 1533-position model. The record is from RNAcentral.